This 896-nucleotide ribosomal RNA is filed under the name uncultured archaeon. Its description in RNAcentral is "bacterial SSU rRNA". It matches the Rfam family "Archaeal small subunit ribosomal RNA", at positions 1 to 904 of the family's 1478-position model. The record is from RNAcentral.
UUCUGGUUGAUCCCGCCAGACCUGACUGCUAUCGGAUUGAUACUAAGCCAUGCGAGUCGUUGUAGCAAUACAAGGCAUACGGCUCAGUAACGCGUAGUCAACCUAACCUAUGGACGGGAAUAACCUCGGGAAACUGAGAAUAAUGCCCGAUAGAACAUUAUGCCUGGAAUGGUUUAUGUUCCAAAUGAUUUAUCGCCAUAGGAUGGGACUGCGGCCUAUCAGUUUGUUGGUGAGGUAAUGGCCCACCAAGACUAUUACAGGUACGGGCUCUGAGAGGAGUAGCCCGGAGAUGGGUACUGAGACACGGACCCAGGCCCUAUGGGGCGCAGCAGGCGAGAAAACUUUGCAAUGUGCGAAAGCACGACAAGGUUAAUCCGAGUGAUUUCUGCUAAAGAGAUCUUUUGUUAGUCCUAGAAACACUAACGAAUAAGGGGUGGGCAAGUUCUGGUGUCAGCCGCCGCGGUAAAACCAGCACCUCAAGUGGUCAGGAUGAUUAUUGGGCCUAAAGCAUCCGUAGCCGGCUCUGUAAGUUUUCGGUUAAAUCUGUACGCUCAACGUACAGGCUGCCGGAAAUACUGCAGAACUAGGGAGUGGGAGAGGUAGACGGUACUCGGUAGGAAGUGGUAAAAUGCUUUGAUCUAUCGAUGACCACCUGUGGCGAAGGCGGUCUACCAGAACACGUCCGACGGUGAGGGGUGAAAGCUGGGGGAGCAAACCGGAUUAGAUACCCGGGUAGUCCCAGCUGUAAACUAUGCAAACUCAGUGAUGCAUUGGCUUGUGGCCAAUGCAGUGCUGCAGGGAAGCCGUUAAGUUUGCCGCCUGGGAAGUACGUACGCAAGUAUGAAACUUAAAGGAAUUGGCGGGGGAGCACCACAAGGGGUGAAGCCUGCGGUUCA